RNAcentral lists this ribosomal RNA (283 nucleotides) under Faecalibacterium prausnitzii. RNAcentral describes it as "partial 23S ribosomal RNA". It matches the Rfam family "Bacterial large subunit ribosomal RNA", at positions 198 to 485 of the family's 2925-position model. Lineage: Bacteria; Bacillati; Bacillota; Clostridia; Eubacteriales; Oscillospiraceae. The record is from RNAcentral.
ACAUCUAAGUAGGGCGAGGAAGAGACAUCAAACGAGAUUCCGUAAGUAGUGGCGAGCGAACGCGGAAGAGGGCAAACCGGGAGUAGAAAUACUUCCGGGGUACGGACUGCUUUUAGGACUUAAUCUGUUAACCGAACGGCAUGGGAAGGCCGGUCAGAGAGUGUGAGAACCACGUAGGUGAAAACGGAGAGAGCUGCGCAGGAUCCAGAGUACGGCCAGACACGUGAAACCUGGUCGGAAUAUGGGGGGACCACCCUCCAACCCUAAAUACUACCCAGUGACC